UACAGAGGGUGCAAGCGUUAAUCGGAAUUACUGGGCGUAAAGCGUGCGUAGGCGGUUAUUUAAGUCGGAUGUGAAAGCCCCGGGCUCAACCUGGGAAUUGCAUUCGAGACUGAAUAGCUAGGGUGCGGUAGAGGGAAGCGGAAUUUCCGGUGUAGCGGUGAAAUGCGUAGAUAUCGGAAGGAACAUCAGUGGCGAAAGCGGCUUCCUGGACCAGCACCGACGUUCAGGCACGAAAGCGUGGGGAGCAAACAGG
RNAcentral lists this ribosomal RNA (253 nucleotides) under uncultured bacterium. RNAcentral describes it as "partial 16S ribosomal RNA". It matches the Rfam family "Bacterial small subunit ribosomal RNA", at positions 524 to 776 of the family's 1533-position model. The record is from RNAcentral.